CGUUAGCGGCGGGCGGGUGAGUAACACGUGGGUAACCUACCUAUAAGACUGGGAUAACUUCGGGAAACCGGAGCUAAUACCGGAUAAUAUUUCGAACCGCAUGGUUCGAUAGUGAAAGAUGGUUUUGCUAUCACUUAUAGAUGGACCUGCGCCGUAUUAGCUAGUUGGUAAGGUAACGGCUUACCAAGGCGACGAUACGUAGCCGACCUGAGAGGGUGAUCGGCCACACUGGAACUGAGACACGGUCCAGACUCCUACGGGAGGCAGCAGCC
This 272-nucleotide ribosomal RNA is filed under the name uncultured Staphylococcus sp. RNAcentral describes it as "partial 16S ribosomal RNA". It matches the Rfam family "Bacterial small subunit ribosomal RNA", at positions 90 to 355 of the family's 1533-position model. The record is from RNAcentral. Lineage: Bacteria; Bacillati; Bacillota; Bacilli; Caryophanales; Staphylococcaceae.